RNAcentral lists this ribosomal RNA (497 nucleotides) under uncultured bacterium. RNAcentral describes it as "partial 16S ribosomal RNA". It matches the Rfam family "Bacterial small subunit ribosomal RNA", at positions 28 to 507 of the family's 1533-position model. The record is from RNAcentral.
GAUGAACGCUGGCGGCGUGCCUAAUACAUGCAAGUCGAGCGAACAGAUGAGGAGCUUGCUCCUCUGACGUUAGCGGCGGACGGGUGAGUAACACGUGGAUAACCUACCUAUAAGACUGGGAUAACUUCGGGAAACCGGAGCUAAUACCGGAUAAUAUAUUGAACCGCAUGGUUCAAUAGUGAAAGACGGUUUUGCUGUCACUUAUAGAUGGAUCCGCGCCGCAUUAGCUAGUUGGUAAGGUAACGGCUUACCAAGGCAACGAUGCGUAGCCGACCUGAGAGGGUGGUCGGCGACACUGGAGCUGAGACACGGACAAGACUACUAAGGGAGGCAGCAGUAGGGAAUCUUCCGCAAUAGGCGGAAGCCUGACGGAGCAACGCCGAGUGAGUGAUGAAGGUCUUCGGAUCGUAAAACUCUGUUAUUAGGGAAGAACAAAUGUGUCAGUAAAUAUGCACGUCUUGACGGUAACUAAUAAGAAAGCAACGGCUAACUACGUG